UACUCAAUGGGUGACUGCAAUGCUGGAGCAAAGAGAGGAACAGAAGGAGGGUUACCGCAGAGACAGGGCUUCACUGAAGAUGAUGAUUUGCUCAAAGAGGAAGACGCGCCUCUCUCGACCUCGGGAAGACAGCAGCCCUCCAGCCUCAGGCUCGGUGACCCAGAAAGUGUCCUGGCCCAAGAGCUUCCCCUGAGCAGUCAGUUUGCCCUGAAACCAAAAGGAUAGUG
This 227-nucleotide non-coding RNA is filed under the name Pan troglodytes (chimpanzee). The record is from RNAcentral. Lineage: Eukaryota; Metazoa; Chordata; Mammalia; Primates; Hominidae. RNAcentral also lists the same sequence under 1 other name.